RNAcentral lists this ribosomal RNA (484 nucleotides) under uncultured organism. RNAcentral's name for it is "bacterial SSU rRNA". It matches the Rfam family "Bacterial small subunit ribosomal RNA", at positions 29 to 507 of the family's 1533-position model. The record is from RNAcentral.
AUUGAACGCUGGCGGCGUGCCUAACACAUGCAAGUCGAGCGGCAGCGCGGGGGCAACCCUGGCGGCGAGCGGCGAACGGGUGAGUAAUGCUUUGGAAUCUGCCCAGUAGUGGGGAAUAACCAGCCGAAAGGUUGGCUAAUACCGCAUACGUCCUACGGGAGAAAGCGGGGGAUCGCAAGACCUCGCGCUAUUGGAUGAGCCAAAGUCGGAUUAGCUAGUUGGUGAGGUAACGGCUCACCAAGGCGACAAUCCGUAGCUGGUCUGAGAGGACGACCAGCCACACUGGGACUGAGACACGGCCCAGACUCCUACGGGAGGCAGCAGUGGGGAAUAUUGGACAAUGGGGGAAACCCUGAUCCAGCGACGCCGCGUGUGUGAAGAAGGCCUGCGGGUUGUAAAGCACUUUUAGUGGGGAUGAAAAGCUCAGGGCUAAUACCCCUGGGUCUUGACCUAACCCAAAGAAAAAGCACCGGCUAACUCUGUG